UACGGGGGGGGCAAGCGUUGUUCGGAAUUACUGGGCGUAAAGGGUGCGUAGGCGGCGGGGCAAGUCGGAUGUGAAAUCUCAGGGCUCAACCCUGAAACUGCAUUCGAUACUGCUCUGCUCGAGGACUGGAGAGGAGAUUGGAAUUCACGGUGUAGCAGUGAAAUGCGUAGAUAUCGUGAGGAAGACCAGUGGCGAAGGCGGAUCUCUGGACAGUUCCUGACGCUGAGGCACGAAGGCCAGGGGAGCAAACGGG
This 253-nucleotide ribosomal RNA is filed under the name uncultured bacterium. RNAcentral describes it as "partial 16S ribosomal RNA". It matches the Rfam family "Bacterial small subunit ribosomal RNA", at positions 524 to 776 of the family's 1533-position model. The record is from RNAcentral.